This 468-nucleotide ribosomal RNA is filed under the name uncultured bacterium. RNAcentral's name for it is "partial 16S ribosomal RNA". It matches the Rfam family "Bacterial small subunit ribosomal RNA", at positions 28 to 507 of the family's 1533-position model. The record is from RNAcentral.
GACGAACGCUGGCGGCGUGCUUAACACAUGCAAGUCGAACGGAAAGGCACUGCUUUUGUGGGGUGCUCGAGUGCCGAACGCGUGAGUAACACGUGAGUAACCUGCCCUUGACUUUGGGAUAACUUCAGGUAACUGAGCCUAAUACCAGAUAGGAGCUCCUGCUGCAUUGUGGGGGUUGGAAAGUUUCGGCGGUUGGGGAUGGACUCGCGGCUUAUCAGCUUGUUGGUGGGGUAGUGGCUUACCAAGGCUUUGACGGGUAGCCGGCCUGAGAGGGUGAACGGCCACAUUGGGACUGAGAUACGGCCCAGACUGCUACGGGAGGCAGCAGUGGGGAAUAUUGCACAAUGGGCGGAAGCCGGAUGCAGCAACGCCGCGGGCGGGAUGACGGCCUUUGGGUUGUAAACCGCUUUCGCCUGUGACGAAGCGGGAGUGACGGUAAUGGGUAAAGAAGCACCGGCUAACUACGUG